Molecule: ribosomal RNA, 492 nt
Filed under: uncultured bacterium
Lineage: Bacteria
Description: partial 16S ribosomal RNA
Rfam family: Bacterial small subunit ribosomal RNA
Source: RNAcentral
AGUGAACGCUGGCGGUAGGCCUAACACAUGCAAGUCGAACGGCAGCACAGUAAGAGCUUGCUCUUACGGGUGGCGAGUGACGGACGGGUGAGGAAUACAUCGGAAUCUACUUUUUCGUGGGGGAUAACGUAGGGAAACUUACGCUAAUACCGCAUACGACCUACGGGUGAAAGCAGGGGAUCUUCGGACCUUGCGCGAUUGAAUGAGCCGAUGUCGGAGUAGCUAGUUGGCGGGGUAAAGGCCCACCAAGGCGACGAUCCGUAGCUGGUCUGAGAGGAUGAUCAGCCACACUGGAACUGAGACACGGUCCAGACUCCUACGGGAGGCAGCAGUGGGGAAUAUUGGACAAUGGGCGCAAGCCUGAUCCAGCCAUACCGCGUGGGUGAAGAAGGCCUUCGGGUUGUAAAGCCCUUUUGUUGGGAAAGAAAAGCAGCAGGUUAAUACCCCGCUGUUCUGACGGUACCCAAAGAAUAAGCACCGGCUAACUUCGUG